This 101-nucleotide small nuclear RNA is filed under the name Eurypyga helias (sunbittern). Its description in RNAcentral is "U2 spliceosomal RNA". It matches the Rfam family "U2 spliceosomal RNA". From Rfam's summary of the family: U2 is a small nuclear RNA (snRNA) component of the spliceosome (involved in pre-mRNA splicing). Lineage: Eukaryota; Metazoa; Chordata; Aves; Eurypygiformes; Eurypygidae. The record is from Rfam by way of RNAcentral.
UUGGGUUCAGUUUGGAUCAAGUGUAGUAUCUGUUCUUAUCAGUUUAAUAUCUGAUAAAAAAUUAAUUAUUGCCCCCAAUAUCAGAAGGAUAUUGACCAGUU